RNAcentral lists this ribosomal RNA (508 nucleotides) under uncultured bacterium. Its description in RNAcentral is "partial 16S ribosomal RNA". It matches the Rfam family "Bacterial small subunit ribosomal RNA", at positions 28 to 523 of the family's 1533-position model. The record is from RNAcentral.
GAUGAACGCUAGCUACAGGCUUGACACAUGCAAGUCGAGGGACAGCAUGGUCUUAGCUUGCUAAGGCUGAUGGCGACCGGCGCACGGGUGAGUAACACGUAUCCAACCUGCCGUCUACUCUUGGCCAGCCUUCUGAAAGGAAGAUUAAUCCAGGAUGGGAUCACGAGUUCACAUGUCCGCAUGAUUAAAGGUAUUUUCCGGUAGACGAUGGGGAUGCGUUCCAUUAGAUAGUAGGCGGGGUAACGGCCCACCUAGUCAACGAUGGAUAGGGGUUCUGAGAGGAAGGUCCCCCACAUUGGAACUGAGACACGGUCCAAACUCCUACGGGAGGCAGCAGUGAGGAAUAUUGGUCAAUGGGCGAUGGCCUGAACCAGCCAAGUAGCGUGAAGGAUGACUGCCCUAUGGGUUGUAAACUUCUUUUAUAAAGGAAUAAAGUCGGGUAUGCAUACCCGUUUGCAUGUACUUUAUGAAUAAGGAUCGGCUAACUCCGUGCCAGCCGCCGCCGUAA